AAUAUUGGACAAUGGGGGCAACCCUGAUCCAGCCAUGCCGCGUGUGGGAAGAAGGUCUUCGGUUUGUAAAGCACUUUAAGGUGGGAGGAAGGGCUUUAGGCUAAUACCCUGAAGUUUUGACGUUACCAACAGAAUAAGCACCGGAUAACUCUGUGCUCGCAGCCGCGGUAAUACAGAGGGUGAAAGCGUUAAUCGGAAUUACUGGGCGUAAAGCGCGCGUAGGUGGUUCAGUCAGCUGGGUGUGAAAUCCCCGGGCUUAACCUGGGAACUGCUUUCAUAACUGCUGAGCUAGAGUACGGUAGAGGGUAGUGGAAUUUCCUGUGUAGCGGUGAAAUGCGUAGAUAUAGGAAGUAACACCAGUGGCGAAGGCGACUACCUGGACUGAUACUGACACUGAGGUGCGAAAGCGUGGGGAGCAAAC
This 421-nucleotide ribosomal RNA is filed under the name uncultured bacterium. Its description in RNAcentral is "partial 16S ribosomal RNA". It matches the Rfam family "Bacterial small subunit ribosomal RNA", at positions 360 to 773 of the family's 1533-position model. The record is from RNAcentral.